UGUUGAGCUUGGAUGCCGCCGCCGCCACC
Molecule: small RNA, 29 nt
Filed under: Bombyx mori (domestic silkworm)
Lineage: Eukaryota; Metazoa; Arthropoda; Insecta; Lepidoptera; Bombycidae
Description: ovarian small RNA-36152
Source: RNAcentral